RNAcentral lists this unclassified non-coding RNA (232 nucleotides) under Hevea brasiliensis (rubber tree). The record is from RNAcentral. Lineage: Eukaryota; Viridiplantae; Streptophyta; Magnoliopsida; Malpighiales; Euphorbiaceae.
GCAGGAAGUGAAAAAAUUAAAGAAGAAAAAUAGGAGAGAGAGCCCUAAAUUAAUAGAACAAGAAAGAAAUUUGAUUCAAGAAUAUCAAGAAAUAACAGAAAAGAAAUCUGAAUAUAGGAAAGGGAAGAUGAUGCGUCCCAUAUUGAUUCUGCAGGGAAGUUUUAGGUGUUAUAUAUAUAAGUUUGCAAACCUCCCUUUGUAAGCUAGUUUUUGAGAUGGAGUUAGGCAAGUU